AGUUCGCGAAGUGACGGAGAAGAGAUCAGGUGGUUGAUAAUGGGAAAAGGAGAUCGGCUGAAUAUUGUGUAUAUAGUUGUAGUUUAAAGUAAAUAGUUAUAAUCCAAAUCGGAGGAAGUUUUUAUUGAUUGUGCGUGUGCGUGCAUCACACUAACCACACAUCUAUGCACAUGUAAUAAACCAAGAUUUGGAUUAUAAUCUGAGUGAGACAUCCUUGUUCUGACCGGACAAACUGUAGCCUUCAACCGAACCCGGACUAGCAAUUAGAUAAAGAAUCACAAGAUUUUUCAGUUAUCCUUUGUAAUGUGAGCUUAAAAUGUAUCUAUUUACUAGACUUCAGUGUACUGUAUAUUGUAUAUCAUACUUAUUGCAUUUUCACUGUUCGGUGCUCUUUAACGCUCUCAUCCUUUUCUAUUUUCCACCAUUUAUUCCCCAAACCUGUUUCAUACUGAUUCCUGUUUAUACGCCAGAAUGCACUCCGUCACACUGACAAUUUGUUCUUGAAAAAUGAUGAAAGGAUGUUGAUGGAUUGAUGAGCGGCUGUAAAUGUGGUUGAUGCAUUUUGAAAGUCAUAUUUGCAGGAAGAAAGUCUGGCCAGGAGCCAUUGUUUAUUGACAGCUCAGAACAUUAAAAAGAUGCACUGAAGAUAAAUGAAUGGCACAGAUUCUACCCUCCGGAAAGUAAAGUUAUAAGUUCUGAACUGAAAUUCGGUUGCAUUGAUGGACUCACAUUGUCCUCUUUGGUGCCACCCCAGAAAUUAAUGCCUCCUGCAUAGCUUGGGAUGUUCAAAACAGCAAGACCCUGAAGACUCGGCAAGGACAUGGGCACUCCAUCACACUGCACACAAAAAAAAGAGAGAGACAGACAGAGAGUGUUACAUGACGUACUGUACAGCUUCUAGAACAUUUGAAACAUGAAAACAUGAUCAGUUACACAGAUGAAAAAUACACAUCUACACAUAAACACAGUGGCAGAGCAUCAUUCAUAGUAUGUGAAGUGAAGUAAAUGGUACAAAGACUACUUCUUCCCAUUAAAGGUCAGAAAAGCCCACAUGUCAACAUCAUGCAUUCCCUUUCUCUCUGUCUGUCCAACACAUGCUCGUACCUCCAACUGGACUCUUUGUUCCAGGUUCUUGUAGGUUUUCUGCACCAGUUCUUUGGUCCCUAGCACUCCAUACCACAUCAUGUUUUUAGUGCGACUACUGUAAAAAACAAAAAACAAACAAAACAAAAAAAAAACAUAGUUUUAGUCAGCAUUAUAUAAACACAGCAUUAUUACAAAAAAAAAAAGUUUCUUGAAUAAAAAUGAACAAUAAAAGCAAAACUGUAACUAGUAAUACCAAUGCCUCUGCAAGGCAUUUUUACACAGAUUUAAUAAAUUGUAUUCAGCAGUUCUCAAACA
Megalobrama amblycephala (Wuchang bream) is the source of this 1401-nucleotide long non-coding RNA. RefSeq lists it as uncharacterized. The record is from RefSeq and is a predicted model, not a curated record. NCBI's taxonomy places the organism in Eukaryota, Metazoa, Chordata, Actinopteri, Cypriniformes, Xenocyprididae. The transcript is spliced from 2 exons.